This 62-nucleotide transfer RNA is filed under the name Cavia porcellus (domestic guinea pig). It matches the Rfam family "tRNA". From Rfam's summary of the family: Transfer RNA (tRNA) molecules are approximately 80 nucleotides in length. Their secondary structure includes four short double-helical elements and three loops (D, anti-codon, and T loops). Further hydrogen bonds mediate the characteristic L-shaped molecular structure. tRNAs have two regions of fundamental functional importance: the anti-codon, which is responsible for specific mRNA codon recognition, and the 3' end, to which the tRNAs corresponding amino acid is attached (by aminoacyl-tRNA synthetases). tRNAs cope with the degeneracy of the genetic code in two manners: having more than one tRNA (with a specific anti-codon) for a particular amino acid; and 'wobble' base-pairing, i.e. permitting non-standard base-pairing at the 3rd anti-codon position. Lineage: Eukaryota; Metazoa; Chordata; Mammalia; Rodentia; Caviidae. The record is from Rfam by way of RNAcentral.
GGGGAUUUAGCUUAGUGGCAUAAGCGCCUGCCUGGCAAGCACAAUUAUUAUAGCAAUUCCCA